GGAACUGGCGCUAAUAUCCUGAUAGGUGAGGAUGCCUGAAUGGUUUCUCACUCAAAGGGCUUUAGGAACAUGCUUCUAAAGUCGCCUUGGGGAUGGGCCCGCGACCCGAUCAGGUUGUUGGUGAGGUAAUGGCUCACCAAGCCUAUAACCGGUACGGGCCGUGAGAGCGGUAGCCCGGAGAUGGGUAUUGAGACAAGGACCCAGGCCCUACGGGGCGCAGCAGUCGCGAAAACUCCGCAAUGCACGAAAGUGUGACGGGGCUACCCCGAGUGCCAUCCGCUGAGGAUGGCUUUUCCUUGGUAUAACUAGCCAGGGGAAUAAGGAGAGGGCAAGAUUGGUGUCAGCCGCCGCGGUAAUACCAGCUCUCCGAGUGGUAGGGAUGAUUAUUGGGCUUAAAGCGUCCGUAGCCGGCUUAGCAAGUCUCCUGUUAAAUUCAGCGACCUAAUCGUUGAGCCGCGGGAGAUACUACUAGGCUAGGAGGCGGGAGAGGUCGACGGUACUUCUGGGGUAGGGGUGAAAUCCUAUAAUCCCAGGAGGACCACUAGUGGCGAAGGCUGUUGACUAGAACGCGCUCGACGGUGAGGGACGAAGGCUGGGGGAGCAAACCGAAUUAGAUACCCGGGUAGUCCCAGCCGUAAACGAUGCGGGCUAGGUGUUGGGGUGGCUACGUGCCACUUCAGUGCCGCAGGGAAACCAUUAAGCCCGCCGCCUGGGGAGUACGGCCGCAAGGCUGAAACUUAAAGGAAUUGGCGGGGGAGCACCACAAGGCGUGAAGCCUGCGGUUCAAUUGGAUUCAACGCCGGAAAUCACUAGUGAAU
Molecule: ribosomal RNA, 818 nt
Filed under: uncultured methanogenic archaeon
Lineage: Archaea; Methanobacteriati; Methanobacteriota
Description: bacterial SSU rRNA
Rfam family: Archaeal small subunit ribosomal RNA
Source: RNAcentral